AGAGACCAAGCGAGAGCAAGUCUUGCUUCGCUAGAGUGGUUUGCACCGCAUCGGGUCAUGAUUGUAUUUUAAAGCAGGUUCAGUUCACAAUAGACAUAAAUAAAAGAAGAGAAAUUAGCCAUAAGUAUAUAUACUUUUUUUUUUUGCGGGAUAUAAGUAUAUAUACUUAGACCAUACCACGUCUCGGUGCUACACCACAUGAUGGAAAGUCGAUCCACCAGGCUGGCUUAGGGCUCAGCAGGCCACGAUAUAUAUGGCUCAUGCGCCAUACCCCACUAGUAGGCCUCCUCCAAAAACACCACCGACUUGACA
This 312-nucleotide long non-coding RNA is filed under the name Hordeum vulgare. RNAcentral's name for it is "long non-coding RNA (HVUL_LNC014666)". The record is from RNAcentral. Lineage: Eukaryota; Viridiplantae; Streptophyta; Magnoliopsida; Poales; Poaceae.